AGCCGGCAGAGUGGGACCGGGGACGGACUUACGGCCCCGCCGGAAGUGCCCGGGGCCACGGCGUGCAACUGCCGCCCGCCAUUUUGGCUUCAUCCUGCCGAGUUCCGCCUCGGCUCCUAGAGGACCCUCCGUGUCCUGCUACCGCUGGAAGUGGGUCCCCCCCGGUCCCAAACGAGGUUCUUCGUGGAGGGUCCGAGAAUCGCUUUGCCAACAUAACAUUCCUUGAGUUGUUUCAGGGUCUAGUCCUUUUCUGGAAUCCUGGUGCUGAGAGCCAGACUCCAGAAUGUGGUGCCCAUCCCAAAGUAUUGCUGCUCGUGGAUGCCUGACUAGAACAUUGUCCAGCAACUAGAAUGGCCCCAUUCCUUCAUUACUUUCUCACAUCCUGACCCACAAUUUCACUAACUGGGGGAGAAGAGUGUGCAAUGUUAAGAACUCCUGGCUCCAAUUACUAGCUGCAUGACCUCAAGCAAAGUAUUCCUCAGCUAUAAAGUGGGGAUAACAUACGACAUACCUUGACAAUGGUGAAGAAGUCAUCGAAAACAGGAUGUUUGUUCUGGUAAACGUUCUGUAUAUCUAAGUGUGUGUUUAGGAUUUUUAUUAUUCUUAUUCUGGGAUAAUGUUCCGGAAUGAAGAAGGAGAAGGCAGUGUGUGAUGAAAAAGGAAAGUACAUCUAACAUCUGGGGCUCUUAACACCCAAACUCACGUCCUUAAAUUUGGACUUCGUGACGUGUUUUUCAGUUUCUCAAUCUAUUAUGCCUAUUAUGG
RNAcentral lists this long non-coding RNA (765 nucleotides) under Equus caballus (horse). RNAcentral describes it as "lncRNA (ENSECAG00000059425.1)". The record is from RNAcentral. Lineage: Eukaryota; Metazoa; Chordata; Mammalia; Perissodactyla; Equidae.